This 204-nucleotide long non-coding RNA is filed under the name Citrus sinensis (sweet orange). RNAcentral's name for it is "long non-coding RNA (CSIN_LNC001713)". Lineage: Eukaryota; Viridiplantae; Streptophyta; Magnoliopsida; Sapindales; Rutaceae. The record is from RNAcentral.
ACUCCCCCAUACAUUUGCCUAUCUUCUUCUUCUUCUUCUUCUUACAAAGCUUCCUUCUCUCUCUCUCUCUCUUUUUACUUUUGUUUUGUCCAAAAAAGGGAAACAAAUGUCAGAAAAAUCAAGCCGCCAUCAAAGGAGGCCAUCGCAAGGCGUGUUCAUCAACUUUGAUGAUCUCUCAUCGCCCAUCUCCGAUAAUGUUGCUGG